This 465-nucleotide ribosomal RNA is filed under the name uncultured bacterium. RNAcentral's name for it is "bacterial SSU rRNA". It matches the Rfam family "Bacterial small subunit ribosomal RNA", at positions 338 to 795 of the family's 1533-position model. The record is from RNAcentral.
CCUACGGGAUGCAGCAGUGGGGAAUAUUGCACAGUGGGCGCAAGCCUGAUGCAGCCAUGCCGCGUGUGUGAAGAAGGCCUUCGGGUUGUAAAGCACUUUCAGCGGGGAGGAAGGCGGUGAGGUUAAUAACCUCAUCGAUUGACGUUACCCGCAGAAGAAGCACCGGCUAACUCCGUGCCAGCAGCCGCGGUAAUACGGAGGGUGCAAGCGUUAAUCGGAAUUACUGGGCGUAAAGCGCACGCAGGCGGUUUGUUAAGUCAGAUGUGAAAUCCCCGGGCUCAACCUGGGAACUGCAUCUGAUACUGGCAAGCUUGAGUCUCGUAGAGGGGGGUAGAAUUCCAGGUGUAGCGGUGAAAUGCGUAGAGAUCUGGAGGAAUACCGGUGGCGAAGGCGGCCCCCUGGACGAAGACUGACGCUCAGGUGCGAAAGCGUGGGGAGCAAACAGGAUUAGAUACCCGAGUAGUC